UUAUACAGCGAAACUGCGAAUGGCUCAUUAUAUAAGUUAUCGUUUAUUUGAUAGCACCUUACUACUUGGAUAACCGUGGUAAUUCUAGAGCUAAUACAUGCUAAAAAUCCCGACUUCGGAAGGGAUGUAUUUAUUAGAUUAAAAACCAAUGCCUUCGGGCUUUCUGGUGAUUCAUGAUAACUUCUCGAAUCGCAUGGCCUUGCGCCGGCGAUGGUUCAUUCAAAUUUCUUCCCUAUCAACUUUCGAUGCGAAGGUCUUGUCUUCGCAUGGUUACAACGGGUAACGGAGGGUUAGGGCUCGACCCCGGAGAGGGAGCCUGAGAAAUGGCUACCACUUUUAAGGAAGGCAGCAGGCGCGCAAAUUACCCAAUCCCGACACGGGGAGGUAGUGACAAUAAAUACUGAUACAGGGCUCUUAUGGGUCUUGUAAUCGGAAUGAGUACAAUUUAAAUCCCUUAACGAGGAACAAUUGGAGGGCAAGUCUGGUGCCAGCAGCCGCGGUAAUUCCAGCUCCAAUAGCGUAUAUUAAAGUUGUUGUGGUUAAAAAGCUCGUAGUUGAACCUUGGGCCUGGCUGGCCGGUCCCCCUCACCGGGUGCACUGGUCCGGCCGGGUCUUUCCCUCUAUGGAACCUCAUGCUCUUUAUUGAGUGUGAUGGGGAAAUAGGACUUUUACUUUGAAAAAAUUAGAGUGCUCCAGGCAGGCCUAUGCUCGAAUAGUACAGCAUGGAAUAAUAGAAUAGGACGUGUGGUUCUAUUUUGUUGGUUUCUAGGACCGCCGUAAUGAUUAAUAGGGACAGUCGGGGGCAUCAGUAUUCAGCUGUCAGAGGUGAAA
Molecule: ribosomal RNA, 831 nt
Filed under: Catunica adiposa
Lineage: Eukaryota; Fungi; Ascomycota; Sordariomycetes; Microascales; Ceratocystidaceae
Description: SSU rRNA
Rfam family: Eukaryotic small subunit ribosomal RNA
Source: RNAcentral